CUACAGUGGACCUAACAGCUCUAUGACGAAGAAUUUUCUGGCCCAAUUGUUAAUAGUGCCAUAGUUGAGAUCCUUUGGUCACACUGUGUGUGACACCAUAUCGUGUUUGUUAUUCUAUGUCUGUCACCAAGGAACUUCAUUGUUUUAUGACCAAGAGUGGCUCUGUGUCUGUGUGGGACUUUGCGUAAGUGCACCUCCAUCAGACUCUGCAUCUGACUCCAUCUCUCUCCUGCCCACAGCUCCAAUUUCCCCUGCAAGAGUUCAUCCUGGCCAUGGGCUUCUUCCUAGUCCUGGUGAUGGAGCAGAUCACGCUGGCUUACAAGGAGCAGUCGGGGCCACCACAUCGGGAGGAGACAAGGGCUCUGCUGGGAACAGUGAAUGGUGGGCCCCAGCAUUGGCAUGAUGGGCCAGGGGUUCCACAGGCUAGUGGAGCCCUGGCAGCCCCCUCAGCCCUGCGUGCCUGUGUGCUGGUCUUCUCCCUGGCCCUGCACUCAGUUUUUGAGGGGCUGGCAGUGGGGCUGCAGAGAGACCGGGUUCGGGCCAUGGAACUGUGCCUGGCUCUGCUGCUCCACAAGGGUAUCCUGGCAGUCAGCCUGUCCCUGCGGCUGCUGCAGAGCCACCUACGAGUGCAGGUGGUGGUUGGCUGUGGAAUCCUCUUCUCAUGCAUGACACCUCUGGGCAUUGGGCUGGGUGCAGCUCUGGCAGAGUCAGCUGGGCCUCUGCACCAGCUGGCUCAGUCUGUGCUGGAGGGUAUGGCGGCUGGCACCUUCCUCUAUAUCACCUUCCUGGAAAUCCUGCCCCAGGAGCUGGCCACUUCUGAGCAGAGAAUCCUCAAGGUCAUUCUGCUCCUAGCAGGCUUUGCUCUUCUCACUGGUCUGCUCUUUGUCCAAAUCUAGGGGACUUCAAGAGAGGGGCAGGGGAAGUUAACUACCAGGUGCCCUUAUCUUCCCUCCUCUCCCCCGGCGUGUAAGGAAUAGGAAGGAAUGGGGACAGGAGGUAUUGAGGACCAAAGAGUUCUCUGGAAGGUAGGGAUGUAGCCUUUGGAACUAUGACUAAUGAGAGGGAAGUGGGCAGAGAAGAAGCUGGCCUAAGGAACAAGAUAUGGCCAAGUCACUAGAGACAUGAUCAGGGGAUAUUAGGAUUGAGACAGACCCCGAUUGCUAGAUCAGAAGUCCAACACUACGAAUAGGGAUAAGCUGACACUGGGAAUGCUGGUGAUGGGCACCCAGCUACUGUGUAAUAAAGGUAGGGAGAGGUCCAGGGUCAGUGUCCUGUUGGCUCAAGCUCGUUUCAGCAUUCUGCUGCUAGGAGUGGAUCCUUCCUACUUUUCUUACCUCCUAUCUUUCUCCUUCCCUUCCUCCAGUGGAGUAGUGCCAAAUGGUCUCUCCCUGCCAGUUUUGAUAACUUCUCUGGCCUCUCCAGCUCCAAUCACUCCUCUAUUUUUAAAGUGCCAAACAAAUCCUUUCCCUCUUUCUCAAAGCACAGCGAUGUGGCACAGGGUCCUACCCAGCACCCCAGUGGAGGAGACCUACUUGCUCUUAAUUUUAGUUCCAGAAUCUGGUGUGGGGCAGAAAUAUUUGCUGGGAUGGAUUGGGUGAGGGGAGAGCUGCGGCCACCUAGUAGCUGCUGCACCCUAAGUAUACAAACAUGGUCAUGGUGCCUCAUUCCCGAUGAUAAACACUGAGCUGCCAAAACUUUUUUUAUACCUGAGGAGCCCAAGGGAGAAUGGUUAUUUGGG
This 1738-nucleotide long non-coding RNA is filed under the name Marmota monax (woodchuck). The record is from RNAcentral. Lineage: Eukaryota; Metazoa; Chordata; Mammalia; Rodentia; Sciuridae.